UACGUAGGGUGCGAGCGUUGUCCGGAAUUACUGGGCGUAAAGAGCUCGUAGGCGGUUUGUCGCGUCGUCUGUGAAAACUCGCAGCUCAACUGUGGGCGUGCAGGCGAUACGGGCAGACUCGAGUACUGCAGGGGAGACUGGAAUUCCUGGUGUAGCGGUGAAAUGCGCAGAUAUCAGGAGGAACACCGGUGGCGAAGGCGGGUCUCUGGGCAGUAACUGACGCUGAGGAGCGAAAGCGUGGGUAGCAAACAGG
This 253-nucleotide ribosomal RNA is filed under the name uncultured bacterium. Its description in RNAcentral is "partial 16S ribosomal RNA". It matches the Rfam family "Bacterial small subunit ribosomal RNA", at positions 524 to 776 of the family's 1533-position model. The record is from RNAcentral.